GAGUUUAAUUGAUUAUUUUUUUAUUAAAGUUUAAAUAUUUUAAAAAAAGAAGUUUAAAUUUAAGUAUGGGAAAAGAAUAAAUAAUUUUUAUGAUAGUUUAUUAGUAUUGUGAAAGAAAUUUUUUAAAUAAUUUAAAGAAGAAUUUAAUUUUUGUACCUUGUGUAUCAGGGUUAAUUAAUUAUAAAUUAAUUAUUUAGUAUUCUCGAAUUUAAAAGAGUUAAUUAUUUAUAAAUUUUAUUGUGAAAUAAAUAUUUAAAAUAAAUAAUUUGUAAUGAAACGUUAUUCGUUUUUAAAUAUAUCUAGUUUUUAAAGAAAAAAAUUUAAUUUUUUUAUUAAUAUUUAAAAUUUUUAUUUUUUAAUGUUUUAUUAUUAAUAAAAAAUUUUCUUAGGGAUAAGCUUAAGAAAAAAUUAUUAAAAUUAAAUGAUAAUAAAAUAAUUUAUAGGAUUAAAAAUUUCUAUAAUUAAAAAAUUGUUAUAAUUAAUUAUUUUUAAAAUUUUAUUUUUAUUUGGUUUAAUUUUUUUAUUUAAAAUUUUUUAAUAAUAUUAUUUAAAAAGCUAUAAUGAUUAAAUUAGUAAAUAAUAUUGUAUUAGUAAUUAUAUAUUUUAGGUUAGGUUAAGGAAUUCGGCAAAAUUAUUUUUCACCUGUUUAAUAAAAACAUGUCUUUUUGAUUAUAAUUUAAAGUCUAAUCUGCCCACUGAGGAAUUAAAUGGCCGCGGUAUUUUGACCGUGCGAAGGUAGCAUAAUAAUUAGUUUCUUAAUUAGAAGCUGGAAUGAAUGAUUGGAUGAGAAAAUAACUGUCUCAAUUUAAUUUUUUUUGAAUUUUAUAUUUAAGUAAAAAAGCUUAAAUGAAAUUAAAAGACGAGAAGACCCUAUAGAGUUUUAUAAAUAACUAAUUUAAGUAUAUUUGGUUUAGAUUUUUUAAAUUUUUAUAUUUAUUUUGAAGGAGGUGACAGAAAAAUUUAAUUAACUUUUUUUAUAUAAUU
This 984-nucleotide ribosomal RNA is filed under the name Cleromorpha novemguttata. RNAcentral describes it as "partial 16S ribosomal RNA". Lineage: Eukaryota; Metazoa; Arthropoda; Insecta; Coleoptera; Cleridae. The record is from RNAcentral.